RNAcentral lists this ribosomal RNA (495 nucleotides) under uncultured bacterium. Its description in RNAcentral is "partial 16S ribosomal RNA". It matches the Rfam family "Bacterial small subunit ribosomal RNA", at positions 29 to 507 of the family's 1533-position model. The record is from RNAcentral.
AUGAACGCUGGCGGCGUGCCUAAUACAUGCAAGUCGAGCGAACGGACGAGAAGCUUGCUUUUCUGAUGUUAGCGGCGGGCGGGUGAGUAACACGUGGAUAACCUACCUAUAAGACUGGGAUAACUUCGGGAAACCGGAGCUAAUACCGGAUAAUAUUUUGAACCGCAUGGUUCAAAAGUGAAAGACGGUCUUGCUGUCACUUAUAGAUGGAUCCGCGCUGCAUUAGCUAGUUGGUAAGGUAACGGCUUACCAAGGCAACGAUGCAUAGCCGACCUGAGAGGGUGAUCGGCCACACUGGAACUGAGACACGGUCCAGACUCUACGGGAGGCAGCAGUAGGGAAUCUUCCGCAAUGGGCGAAAGCCUGACGGAGCAACGCCGCGUGAGUGAUGAAGGUCUUCGGAUCGUAAAACUCUGUUAUUAGGGAAGAACAUAUGUGUAAGUAACUGUGCACAUCUUGACGGUACCUAAUCAGAAAGCCACGGCUAACUACGUG